GUAAAUAUAGUUUAAACAAAACCCUAGAUUGUGAAUCUAAUGAUGAAGAUUUAAAUCCUUCUAUUUACC
Molecule: transfer RNA, 69 nt
Filed under: Microcebus ravelobensis
Lineage: Eukaryota; Metazoa; Chordata; Mammalia; Primates; Cheirogaleidae
Description: tRNA-His
Rfam family: tRNA
About the family: Transfer RNA (tRNA) molecules are approximately 80 nucleotides in length.
Source: RNAcentral